UAGUAUUAGUUAUGUUCUUGAAACUUAAAAAAUUUGGCGGUAUUUUAGUCUAUUUAGAGGAACCUGUGAUAUAAUUGAUAGUCCACAUUGUACCUUACUUAAUUUUGUGUUUCAGUUUGUAUACCGCCGUUAUUAAAAAUUUUAUGAGAACAUUAAUUUUUAAAAUUUUUUAUUAAAAAUAAAGUCAGGUCAAGGUGCAGCUUAUAAUUAAGAAUUUAUGGGUUACAAUAAAUUUAUUUAUAUGAAUUUUAAUAUGAAAUUAUUUUAUGAAAGUGGAUUUAAAAGUAAAUUAUUAUAGAUUAAAUAAUUGAUUAUAGCUCUAAAAUAUGUACAUAUCGCCCGUCGCUCUUGUUUAUAAAAUAAGAUAAGUCGUAACAAAGUAGAUGUACUGGAAAGUGUAUCUGGAAUGACAAUUUAAAGCUUAUAUAGUAAAGUAUUUCAUUUACACUGAAAAGAUUAUUGUGCGAAUCAAUAUAAAUUGAUAUAUUUUAAUUA
Molecule: ribosomal RNA, 495 nt
Filed under: Griphophanes sp. SNK-2009
Lineage: Eukaryota; Metazoa; Arthropoda; Insecta; Diptera; Dolichopodidae
Description: partial 12S ribosomal RNA
Rfam family: Microsporidia small subunit ribosomal RNA (bases 1-412)
Source: RNAcentral